RNAcentral lists this ribosomal RNA (497 nucleotides) under uncultured bacterium. Its description in RNAcentral is "partial 16S ribosomal RNA". It matches the Rfam family "Bacterial small subunit ribosomal RNA", at positions 28 to 507 of the family's 1533-position model. The record is from RNAcentral.
GAUGAACGCUGGCGGCGUGCCUAAUACAUGCAAGUCGAGCGAACAGACGAGGAGCUUGCUCCUCUGACGUUAGCGGCGGACGGGUGAGUAACACGUGGAUAACCUACCUAUAAGACUGGGAUAACUUCGGGAAACCGGAGCUAAUACCGGAUAAUAUAUUGAACCGCAUGGUUCAAUAGUUAAAGACGGUUUUGCUGUCACUUAUAGAUGGAUCCGCGCCGCAUUAGCUAGUUGGUAAGGUAACGGCUUACCAAGGCAACGAUGCGUAGCCGACCUGAGAGGGGGAUCGGCCACAAUGGAACUGAGACACGGUCCAGACUCCUACGGGAGGCAGCAGUAGGGAAUCUUCCGCAAUGGGCGAAAGCCUGACGGAGCAACGCCGCGUGAGUGAUGAAGGUCUUCGGAUCGUAAAACUCUGUUAUUAGGGAAGAACAAAUGUGUAAGUAACUAUGCACGUCUUGACGGUACCUAAUCAGAAAGCCACGGCUAACUACGUG